CCAACCCCUGGCGGCGUGCCUAAUACAUGCAAGUCGAGCGGACCAAGGGAGCUUGCUCCUGGAGGUUAGCGGCGAACGGGUGAGUAACACGUGGGCAACCUGCCUGUAAGACUGGGAUAACAUCGAGAAAUCGGUGCUAAUACCGGAUAAUAAAAAGAACUGCAUGGUUCUUUUUUGAAAGAUGGUUUCGGCUAUCACUUACAGAUGGGCCCGSGGCGCAUUAGCUAGUUGGUGGGGUAACGGCUCACCAAGGCGACGAUGCGUAGCCGACCUGAGAGGGUGAUCGGCCACACUGGGACUGAGACACGGCCCAGACUCCUACGGGAGGCAGCAGUAGGGAAUCUUCCGCAAUGGACGAAAGUCUGACGGAGCAACGCCGCGUGAGUGAUGAAGGUUUUCGGAUCGUAAAACUCUGUUGUUAGGGAAGAACAAGUGCCGUUCGAAAGGGCGGCACCUUGACGGUACCUAACGAGAAAGCCACGGCUAACUACGUGCCAGCAGCCGCGGUAAUACGUAGGUGGCAAGCGUUGUCCGGAAUUAUUGGGCGUAAAGCGCGCGCAGGCGGUCUCUUAAGUCUGAUGUGAAAGCCCCCGGCUCAACCGGGGAGGGUCAUUGGAAACUGGGAGACUUGAGUACAGAAGAGGAGAGUGGAAUUCCACGUGUAGCGGUGAAAUGCGUAGAGAUGUGGAGGAACACCAGUGGCGAAGGCGACUCUCUGGUCUGUAACUGACGCUGAGGCGCGAAAGCGUGGGGAGCAAACAGGAUUAGAUACCCUGGUAGUCCACGCCGUAAACGAUGAGUGCUAGGUGUUAGGGGUUUCGACGCCCUUAGUGCCGAAGUUAACACAUUAAGCACUCCGCCUGGGGAGUACGACCGCAGGUUGAAACUCAAAGGAAUUGACGGGGGCCCGCACAAGCAGUGGAACAUGUGGUUAAAUUCGAGCAACGCGAAAACCUUACCAGUCUUGACAUCCUUUGACCCCCUAGAGAUAGGGCUUUCCCUUUCGGGGGAAAAAGUGAA
Molecule: ribosomal RNA, 1020 nt
Filed under: Halalkalibacterium halodurans
Lineage: Bacteria; Bacillati; Bacillota; Bacilli; Caryophanales; Bacillaceae
Description: bacterial SSU rRNA
Rfam family: Bacterial small subunit ribosomal RNA
Source: RNAcentral